UACGUAGGGUGCAAGCGUUAAUCGGAAUUACUGGGCGUAAAGCGUGCGCAGGCGGUUGUGCAAGACAGAGGUGAAAUCCCCGGGCUUAACCUGGGAAUGGACUUUGUGACUGCACGGCUAGAGUGUGUCAGAGGGGGGUAGAAUUCCACGUGUAGCAGUGAAAUGCGUAGAGAUGUGGAGGAAUACCGAUGGCGAAGGCAGCCCCCUGGGAUAACACUGACGCUCAUGCACGAAAGCGUGGGGAGCAAACAGG
Molecule: ribosomal RNA, 253 nt
Filed under: uncultured bacterium
Lineage: Bacteria
Description: partial 16S ribosomal RNA
Rfam family: Bacterial small subunit ribosomal RNA
Source: RNAcentral